This 676-nucleotide long non-coding RNA is filed under the name Homo sapiens (human). RNAcentral's name for it is "HSALNT0295050". The record is from RNAcentral. Lineage: Eukaryota; Metazoa; Chordata; Mammalia; Primates; Hominidae.
GAAGUACGAACAAGCCCUGAGAAAGUCCCAGCUGCUUCCCUUAGUUGGAUGAAAAUCUUCUUCUGUAAGAAUCAACAAGCUAACAAUACUGCUUACUUAGAGACCUUUUUGUCUUCUGCGGAGAUAUCAAUGGACUUUACAAUUUCAAUUAUCUUUCAUAAUAUUCCCUGGUGUUAGAACAAACUGCCUCCUCUGAACAAACAUUCCUCUCACCAGGGUGGGAAGUUUACCAAACUUUGUGGCUCCUUUAUUCCCCUCCUCCAUCAGGUUGGUCCCCCUUUCAAAUGACCCAUCCCCCAUCACCACAACUCAAAAAUGUACCUGCUCAGUCCUCCUUAUCCAAUUUCAUCCUAGGUUGGAAAGAAAAUAUUUUAAUUGUUUCUUAGAAGUGAGGGUUUUUAAUGAAUUUUAGAAUCAACUUGUCAAUUUCUGCUGCUCUUAAAAUGUAUAUGGAAAUGCAUGGGACUCAUAAAAGCCAAAACAAUGAAGAACAAAGUUGGUGGAUUCACACUUCCCAAUUUCAAAACUUACAACAAAACUACAGUAACAAAGACAGUGUGUUACUGACAGAAGGAUAAACAUACAGAUCAAUGGAACAGAAUUGAGAAUCACAAAUAAACCCUAACAGUUACAAUCAAUUGAUUUUCAACGAAAGAGCCAAGACAAUUCAAUGGGG